Molecule: ribosomal RNA, 264 nt
Filed under: uncultured archaeon
Lineage: Archaea
Description: partial 16S ribosomal RNA
Rfam family: Archaeal small subunit ribosomal RNA
Source: RNAcentral
AGUCACUGACAUUAGAUACCCCGGUAGUCCUAGCCGUAAACGAUACUCGCUAGGUGUCGGCCACGGUGCGACCGUUGUCGGUGCCGUAGGGAAGCCGUGAAGCGAGCCACCUGGGAAGUACGGCCGCAAGGCUGAAACUUAAAGGAAUUGGCGGGGGAGCACCACAACGGGUGGGCCUGCGGUUUAAUUGGACUCAACGCCGGGAAGCUCACCGGAUAAGACAGCGGAAUGAUUGCCGGGCUGAAGACCCUGCAUGACCAGCUG